Molecule: ribosomal RNA, 420 nt
Filed under: uncultured bacterium
Lineage: Bacteria
Description: partial 16S ribosomal RNA
Rfam family: Bacterial small subunit ribosomal RNA
Source: RNAcentral
UAGGGAAUCUUCCACAAUGGACGCAAGUCUGAUGGAGCAACGCCGCGUGAGUGAAGAAGGCUUUCGGGUCGUAAAACUCUGUUAUUGAAGAAGAACGUGUGUGACAGUAACUGGUCAUGCAGUGACGGUAUUCAAUCAGAAAGUCACGGCUAACUACGUGCCAGCAGCCGCGGUAAUACGUAGGUGGCAAGCGUUGUCCGGAUUUAUUGGGCGUAAAGCGAGUGCAGGCGGUCUUUUAAGUCUGAUGUGAAAGCCUUCGGCUUAACCGAAGAAGGGCAUCGGAAACUGGGAGACUUGAGUGCAGAAGAGGAGAGUGGAACUCCAUGUGUAGCGGUGAAAUGCGUAGAUAUAUGGAAGAACACCAGUGGCGAAGGCGGCUCUCUGGUCUGUAACUGACGCUGAGGCUCGAAAGCGUGGGGU